This 7536-nucleotide long non-coding RNA is filed under the name Ananas comosus (pineapple). RNAcentral describes it as "long non-coding RNA (ACOM_LNC019472)". Lineage: Eukaryota; Viridiplantae; Streptophyta; Magnoliopsida; Poales; Bromeliaceae. The record is from RNAcentral.
GUACGGUGAUCCUUCGCUUAGAGUAUCGAUGAAAACCAGGAAAGAGAACUCCAAGCGAAGCGAAGAUCAAAUCAACAUAUAGAUAUGAAAUUCCAAUAUCUCGAUUUGACCUAAAAGAGGCUAAUAUGUAGAAAAUAGGUUUUAGAUGAAAUCCGAGCCUCUAGGGUUUCUCAAACAUGUACUUUCGUGAUGCUUGAUACGUUAGAGAGCCCCAAUAGCUUAUUUAUAGAUUUUAGAAUCAAUUAGAAUCGGAUUAGAAAGUUUUUCAGGAUUUUACAUUGUGUACCGGUACACUUUCAAGCUGUUACCGGUUACACGAUGACGGAACAGAAAUCCUGCGCAACACUGUAACCGGUGACAAGUCGCUGGUUGUACCGGAACACAUUUUGUACCGGUACACUUCCGAUGUUGUACCGGUACACUUUGCAUAAAUCUGAUUUUUGCACAGUUUCGGGUUUUGCAAAGUUCCGAUGCACUUUCUAAUCCAGUAAACAUUGAUUUUCUGAUUCUAAUGCCUACAACUAAGUAUGAAUCACCAUAACAUGAAUUAAAAACUUACCUGGGCAUCGUGAUUCACGUCGUGAGUUAUUUUCCGAUUUCUUCGAAGUCUUGGAUUCUUCGAUCUUCGACGAUACGCACCGAUCCUUCAAGACUCCGACUCAAUCCACGAAAUUUGCCAACACACAAGACUGAACAAUCUCUCCCUUUGGCAAUUUCGUGACAAAACUCACAACAACUCAAAAAUUACAUCUUAAAGAAAAACGAAGUUCAAUAUCAUCACCGAAACAUCGAACCCCUCGCAUGUAGUCCAAAUACAAUUUGAAAUUCAUAAAUACAACAAAAACUCCUAAAACAUACUCUAUGACUUAGACACAACUAGGAGUCUUGAAGUCUUGAUCUUCUGCAAAACAAAUUAUCCAAAAACAAUGUAAAGUUUAAUCAACAUUAAAUUCUUAUACCUUCUCCCCUUUUGUUUUCAAUCACUUCUCCCCCUUUGUUCAUGAAAUCAUCCUCUUCAUCCUCUGCUUUGAUCAAUACCUGUUCUUCUUAUGAUCUCCUCCUUUUUGUUAAAAAUUGCCAAAAGAAAGCAUAUAGAGAGAAAAUCACUAAAAAACAGAAAUGUAGUCAUGUCAUAGUUACAGGCCUAAAUCAAAAUGCUAAAACAAGCAAAGUAAACAUCGUCCUAAAAGCAAAGUAGAAAAACAAAGCUCGAAGAUGACAUCUCUCGGUAUACUCAUCAUCAUCAUCGUCGUCGCCUGCCCCAGCACCAGAUCCUCCUGCAUCCGGUGCACUAGUAGACGGUGGAAUAAGCGGAUGUCGCGAAGUCGACCUCGUGUAGGUGGUGUAGGUAGGCUGAGUAGGAAAUAUGUCGUCAUGCCUACAUCCUAGCUUCUCCAAUAUCCUCCUCAUUCCCACCUCCACCUUCUUAGUAAGAUCUGCCACCUUCUUCUUUAAGGAGCGCACCUCAUGGUGAAGUGAUUCUACAGUAAUCACUCUCCCUGAACUGGAAGAUCCCUCACGCUCUGCUCGAGGUGGAGGUGCUGAACUAGAAGCGCCUCUGGAUGAUCCCUUAGUUUGCUGGAAUGUCUUCAGUGUGCUGACUGACUUGGCCCAAGUUACUGCAUCAAUCGGUCCAAGGCCAGUGUCGUACUUUUCACACGAGACAUCUACUCCGUUCUCCUGCAAAAUCCGAGUGAUCAACAAAGGAAAAGGAAGUAGAUCACGUCGCACUGAAGACUGGAUAACAUACACCAUCCGUUGCCACAUUAGGAAUGGUAUGUUGAUAUUCAAACCAUCUGCCUGCUCAGGGUGACCAUGAAGAUAUAAAAGAACUAAUCGAUCCCAUCGAAUCCUCUUGGUCCCAAUCGUCGGUUGAACAUUAUAGGACAUAACCAAGGAUAAUAAAUGAUACUCGGGUCGCAAAUCCUUGGAUUUCACGUAGGCAUGAUUCGUCCUCACGCCAUCCUUGCAGAUUGCUCGAGUAACCGUCUCCCAGUGAGAUGACGACUGAUAUAUCCCCAAUGUAUGAUGAAGGCCAGUCGUGUCAACGUGCAUGCCCAACAACUCUCCAAUCGUGUGAGGAGUGACUACGAUCUUCUGCUGCCGCACAUAGGUCUCAAAUAAAUAAGUCCCUGUCUCCUCAUCCUCAGCAAGCACCCUCCCGUUCAUGUAGAACUCCCGAAUGAGUUCCACACAAAAAGGUGCACGAGCAGGAACUCGUCCAACGGGCUCAAUGGGGACCCUCUGAAGCAACCGUCCAAACUCCGGAACCUCCUGGAUAAGUUCAUAGAAGUUAACAUAUCGCUCCGCUAUGCAUGAUCUGUUUGAAAAUGUCCUCCGCCGCUCAGAUGGAACAUCCGCGGCUUGCUUUGAGCGACUCUCUCGUGCAUGAGAGCCACCUCCGCGUGAUGAUUCUCCAGCUAGGCCUUUCCUUUGUCAGUUGGAGCAAUCGGUUCUUCAGUAUCCUCCGGAGAGCUCGCUUGGUAAUCUGGAUCAGCCCCUGGUGACUCGCCGGCAAUACGAGUCCUCUUAGAAGCCCCUCGACGGCCUCUACCACGACCACAACCUCUCCCCGCGGCCAUAAGUACCAAUAGCAUCAAAACCAAUGAGAAUGCCAUUUUUCCUACAUAAAAAGUAACCUUGCAUGAACAAAAUCUUGAAAAAAUUUGUAAAAAUAGCGAAAAAAUUUCUAAUAACAUUAGAAUGCAUAAGAACACUAUCUCUAUCAGAUUCAUGCAAGAAUAAUCAGUAAAAGUGGCAUUCUGCAAGAAAUCCCGAAAAUUCAUGUAUAUAGAGGUACAGAUCAUAGAUCAGCAAAAAACAAUGCGUUAUAACAUGAUCUAAGUGUACUAGAAGCAAGAAUAUAUGUCUAAACACUGAUUCACAGCAAAAAAUUGCAUAAAAAACGAUUAACGACAGAAAUCAUGCUUCAACUCGGAAUAUUUUCGAAAAAUUAGCAAAACCGGGAUGAAAUGAAUAAAUCCGAGGAAGAUGCUCACAAAUCUUUGGAGAAAACGAGUAGAUCUGGAGGAGAAGGUCACCUGGGAAUUUUAGAGAGAAAGAGAGAGUUUUGGUUUUGAUUUGGGAGAGAAACGAAAUCCUGUAACCAGUUAUAAAACGCGGUCUACAGUGAUUUGUACCGGUACACGGUAUUUUGUACCGGUACACUUUUCAGAUUUCGAAAAUUUGCGAUUUUUUUUUUCAAAACUCCUUCAAAAUCAAAUUAAUUUCAUAGGAAUUUAAAAAUUGUACUCCAAAAAUCAUUAUGAUGAAAAUAAAUUAUUAUAAGAUUUCAAAAUACAUCGAAUCAUCAAAAUUUGUUAUCGAAAAUAAUUUAAUAAUUCAAAACCAUUAAGAUAUAAGUUGAUGAAAAAUGAUUUUUAGAAAUUCAACAAAAUUGACACCAAUUUGUCGCAACUCGUUCAAAAUAGAGAUUUAACUAACUUUGAACAUCUUUUCAUCCUACCACCUUAUACUUCCGAAAAUUUUAAUAUAUUUAUUGUUUUUUCAACCUUUUCGGUUAUUCAAUUAAUUUCCAUGUAGUAGCUUCACACACUUGCCGGACGACCGGGGUGGUAACUCUUUCCUACAUGUGGUGGUAGUUUUCACACUCCUUUUGGAUGUAACUCUUUCCACAUCUUUUAAACAUAAAAGUUUUUCCUUUUUUUUUUUAAAAUAAUAUAAACUCUCCCUAAAUUAAACAAUCUCACAAUUGAAAAAUAAUUUUGACAAAUUUUAGUCUAUUAGCAAAGAUCCAUCAAUCAUAUUCAACACUCACAACCAAGAUGAAUUAAUCACCAAGAGAUCAAAAUUGAUUUCAAAAUUUUGAUGAAUAUUUGUAUUAAGAAUUCAUAUAAUUAAUUAUCGUCAAAAUAAUAAAAGGUGGAGUAAAACCGAUAAUUAAUAUGAAUUUAACUUAAUAUGAAUGUGAAAAUACCGUUUAAAACACUUUGAAAAAUUUAAUCUCCCUAAAAUAAUGAUUUUCAAUCAUCUCCUUUCUCAAGAAAUUUUAAUUCCCUAUCACCUUUCCUCAAAAGAUUUUAAAAACACAAAAUUUAAGCACCAAAAAUCAUCCAAACAUGUAAUGCAAUGAAUACAAAUAUGCAAUAAGCACCAAACAAAGCAUUACAUUAUCGAUAAAACAAACUAAGACAAAGAGCAAGGAAAGAUAUCACCUUUCCGGAUCCACACUUGUCGAAUUGUUGGUUGUCUUGGCUUGUCGACGUUAGGUACACCUUGUUUUGAUUUUGGCUCAACCGUUGAUCGUUUCGUUGCUUGAAGCUUCGGUUGAACUUGUCGUUGAAGCUUAGAGAUCCGAUUUGCUUGAGGUUUCGGUUGGAAUUAAUGUUGUGGCUUAUAAUUCCGUGGGGGAAGUCGAGUAGUAGAGGGUGCCGCUUGAUGUUUCGAAGUUGCCGAUUGAUUCUUCUUAGUCUUGUUUGGGCAACCCUUUUUGAUGUGUCCUUUGAUGCCACAUCGAUGACACACCUUUUCUUUUAAAGUUGUUGAGACUUUAAAAAUUGACUUUUGAUCCUUCUCAACAUACGUUCUUACAUAUCCGAGGCCAAGUUUGUCCGUUUGACCCAAUCUGAGCAUAUGAUCCAAUUUCUUUGAUCCCGAAGAAAACUUUUGAAUAUCGGAUUGGAGUUUACGAACUUGAUCGGUCAAGGAUUGAUUGGAUUUGUACGAUUCCUCCAAUUAUUGCUCCAAAAAUCCAACUUUAUCCUUAUAUGAUUUGAUCGUUGAAUCCGCUUCAUUAAGCUUCUCUUGGAGGAUCGAAUUGUUCUUCAACGUUGAUUCCCUUUCCUCCUCAAGAGCUUUAUUCAUUGUCUUCAAGUUGUUGUUUUCCUCUUCGAGAUCCAACAAACGACGCCUCAACUUCUUAUUAAGUUUGGCCAUCUUUUUCGAUUCGAUAAGAAGUUGGUUGUACGCUUCCGAUAUAUCCUCGUCGUUUGAUUCCUCCUCGCUUUCGCCGUUGUCGCUCGAUGACCCAUGCAAAGAAGGCGAAAUACUACAAUUAGAAACAAUAGAGGAUAAAUAAACAACGUUGGACGAAGGCAAAGAAGUGUUAGUAAACAAAGCAAGUUCAUUCUUUCCUUCGUCACUUGAACUUGAUUCACUAGAAGUUGAAUCAUCCCAAGUCUUUGCUUGCAAAGCCUUUUGUCUAUAUGUUUUCUUUGAAGGACAAUCCGUUGCAAUAUGGCCGUAGCCUUUACAUUUGUAGCAUUGGAUUUCCCCUUCAAAUUCAUCUUUUUCUUUUGAAGACUUUGCAAAUUUCUUAUCUUUAGAUUUAGAAGAUGAAGAUGAUUUAGAAAAAGGUUGUUGCUUAGACGAUGAAGCCUUGUCCGAUUUAUUCUUCUUCGGAAAUUCCAGCGAAACUUCUUCGUUAAGAGCGCCAAUUGAUGUUCGAAAUCAGCAAGCGAAACAUCUCCGUCGGAAUCCGAAUCGUCGUCUUCUUUCUUUGUCGAUUUGAGUGCAACCCCUGUACUUUUAGAAGAAGACUUGGAAGAAAAUUGGUUAGUAGGAAAAGUCAUCUCAUAAGUUUGCAAAGCACUUACUAACUCUUCGUCUUUCACCUCGUCUGGAUGCUUUACGGUUUCGAUCGCGGCAACUUUUGCCCGAAAGCGUUCCGGAAGAGUGCGAAGAUCUUUUUAACAACUUUAGCAUCCGGGAUUUUCUCUCCCAAGUUCGCGCAUGUAUUAACAACGCCUUGUAGACGCGUAUAGUACUCGGUAAAGGUCUCGUUUUCUUCUAUAAAAAUCGAGUCAAAUUUACUUGUAAACAUUUGUAAUUUUUGGACCUUUACUAAACUAGUUCCUUCAUGCGUAACUUGUAGAGUAUCCCAAAUCUCCUUGGCGGUAUUACACGCCGAAACGCGAGUGAACUCCGUUUGUGACAAUGCAUUAAAUAAAGCAUUUAUGCCAUUGCCAUUAAACGAAGAUGACUCGUUUUCAUCUUUCGUCCACUUGUUCCGCGGUUUAGGAACGGUAGCAUUAUCGACGACUUCGGUAGGAUGCUUCCAACCGAAUUCGAUUGCUUGCCAUACCCGCUCAUCGAUUGCAAUUAGAAAAGCUCUCAUGCGAACUUUCCAAUAGGCAUAAUUCGUGCCAUCGAAGAGAGGUGGUCGAUUAAUUUUACCGCCUUCGACCAUUAGAUAUCAAUUUAUCAAGAUCCCGCUCUAAUACCAAUUGUAAGUUUUGGGAUAGCCUAAGGAUCUAUCUAGAUUGUAUCUAACAUCUAGAGGGGGGUGAAUAGGUGUAACGGCCAAAAACCACAAAUCUCGAUGCAAUAAAAAUAAAUGCGGAAAAUAAAAAGCACACCGAGAUUUACGUGGGAAAACUCCAACUUGGAGAAAAACCCACGGGACCAACACGCGAAAAAAUAAUUCACUAAGAGAAAAGAUUACAAGGUGAUUACCGACUCCACGGACUCGACCUCUCUUAAUCUUUUACGAAUCUCGCGCAAUCCUCCGGGUUGUCCACGCCCUCACAUUCGAAUCCACGAACGCCACGUUCCGAAUCCACGAAAUGCCUCCACUCCGAAUCCACGAAGCUCACGAUCCGAAUCCACGAACCGCCGUCAAUCACGCCGAAUCCACGACGCCGUCAUGAAGAACAUCAUAUGUACGGUGAUCCUUCGCUUAGAGUAUCGAUGAAAACCAGGAAAGAGAACUCUAAGCGAAGCGAAGAUCAAAUCGACAUAUAGAUAUGAAAUUCCAAUAUCUCGAUUUGUCCUAAAAGAGGCUAAUAUGUAGAAAAUAGGUUUUAGAUAAAAUCCGAGCCUCUAGGGUUUCUCAAACAUGUAUUUUCGUGAUGCUUGAUACGUUAGAGACCCCAAUAGCUUAUUUAUAGAUUUUAGAAUCAAUUAGAAUCGGAUUAGAAAGUUUUUCAGGAUUUUACAUUGUGUACUGGUACACUUUCAAGCUGUUACCGGUUACACGAUGACGGAACAGAAAUCCUGCGCAACACUGUAACCGGUGACAAGUCGCUGGUUGUACCGGAACACAUUUUGUACCGGUACACUUUGUAUAAAUCUGAUUUUUGCACAGUUUUGGGUUUUGCAAAAUUCCGAUGCACUUUCUAAUCCAGUAAACAUUGAUUUUCUGAUUCUAAUAACUACAACUAAGUAUGAAUCACCAUAACAUGAAUUAAAAACUUACCUGGGCAUCGUGAUUCACGUCGUGAGUUAUUUUCCGAUGUCUUUGAAGUCUUGGAUUCUUCGAUCUUCGACGAUACGCACUGAUCCUUCAAGACUCCGACUCAAUCCACGAAACUUGCCAACACACAAGACUUAACAAUUGUUUUAUUAAUGAUUAUACAUAUAUAUAGGACUAUUUUCAUACAAAGGUAAUUAAUAAUAAUUAAUAUAAAUGCAAUUAUCUUUAUAUAAAUAUAAGUUAACUAUCUCUCUUUUUAUUUUAGUAGGUAUUGUUCCAUAUAUAUCUAAAUAAUUACAUUUAUAAAUAUUGGUGAAUAAUUUUGUAGUAGUUAGAUGUUAUUAUACUAGAUAAUUUUUCAAGUGUUGGCCUGUCAAAUGAUG